UCUGGCUCAGGAUGAACGCUGGCGGCGUGCCUAACACAUGCAAGUCGAACGGAAACUAGGCGCUUCGGAGGCUCGGCCAAUGUUGCUUAGUAUUAGUGGCGGACGGGUGAGUAACGCGUGGAUAACCUGCCUCAUACAGGGGGAUAACAGUUAGAAAUGACUGCUAAUACCGCAUAAGCGCACGGAAUCGCAUGUUUCUGUGUGAAAAACUCCGGUGGUAUGAGAUGGAUCCGCGUCUGAUUAGCUAGUUGGCGGGGUAACAGCCCACCAAGGCGACGAUCAGUAGCCGGCCUGAGAGGGUGAACGGCCACAUUGGGACUGAGACACGGCCCAAACUCCUACGGGAGGCAGCAGUGGGGGAUAUUGCACAAUGGGGGGAAACCCUGAUGCAGCGAACCGCCGCGUGAGUGAAGAAGUAUUUCGGUAUGUAAAGCUCUAUCAGCAGGGAAGAUAAUGACGGUACCUGACUAAGAAGCACCGGCUAAAUACGUGCCAGCAGCCGC
This 503-nucleotide ribosomal RNA is filed under the name uncultured bacterium. RNAcentral describes it as "bacterial SSU rRNA". It matches the Rfam family "Bacterial small subunit ribosomal RNA", at positions 18 to 518 of the family's 1533-position model. The record is from RNAcentral.